GUGCCCUGAAUAUAAAACAUAGGGUAAAGUACCUUUAGUCGUACCAGCGCUUAAGUCGUACCACGUCGAUAUCUGCGCACCCGUCAUGAAAAGGUGGCAUCUAGCAGUGCAAUAUGGUUCUACUAAGUACCACGGAUAAACAGCAACGCGCGGCGGCUUGCCGGAAUUCGCGAUCAAAAAAUAAUGAAAAAGUGAUCAAUAUGGCAAAGAAAAUUUAUAACUCUUGGAAGCAAGAUGACAUAGAUGAACACAAAAAGGAACACAAUUCACAAAUAAAAAAAGAAAGAUAGACAGAAAGAUAAGAAAUUAGAUGCUAAAGAAAAUUGGUUGUGCAAACUAACAACACUAAACAAGAUCGCAAAGAAAAUAUGACCCUAUGUAUUAAAUGCAAAGGAUGGGUACAUGAUUUAUGUGCAGAUCUCGAAAUUAAAACUAAAAAUUACAUUUGUGAUAUAUGCAUUUAAAAAA
Trichoplusia ni (cabbage looper) is the source of this 468-nucleotide long non-coding RNA. RefSeq lists it as uncharacterized. The transcript is spliced from 2 exons. NCBI's taxonomy places the organism in Eukaryota, Metazoa, Arthropoda, Insecta, Lepidoptera, Noctuidae. The record is from RefSeq and is a predicted model, not a curated record.